Molecule: non-coding RNA, 159 nt
Organism: Capsicum annuum
Lineage: Eukaryota; Viridiplantae; Streptophyta; Magnoliopsida; Solanales; Solanaceae
Source: Rfam
UUGCACUUGGCUUUGCUAAAUUUUCAAAGUAGUGCAAUCUAUUAACGAUUAGUGCAAUACAGGAAAAGCUGAAUUAAUCAGCGACGACUAGACAACCGUUGAGAUGAAUCCACAGAUAGGUUUUUAUUUGCUCCCGUCUACUAAAUUCAUCUUACAUUA